GCAAAAUGGAGAACUCCAGGCAAGACACUUCUUUUAGUUAAGAAAACUAGCUAGAGCCAAUUCAGCCUAAUGCUAUUUCAACAUCUACUUUAUGUAAAGAUUUGCCAGUGGAUUUCUGUAAUGGUGGACAGGGAGUAAGAUCCCUAGAUAGGAGCAUGCUGACAGACCAGGAAGAAAGUGGUUGUUGAGGUAUAACAGUCAAUGCUUAUGAACUGAGUAUUGUGUGUGAAUUGCCUAUUUCUAUCAUUGGCACUAACAAAAGGGUUGGAUCUCAACAACAUGAGCAGUAAAUGCUAGCAAAGCUUUGGUGAUAAAAGGUGAACGCCGGAAGUAGCGCACCAUAGAUGUUAGCUGGGACGUUGCGUGUCUGCAGAGCUGGAGCUGAUGUGACUGAGGUAGAAAGCUUGCUGUUGCUGGAGCAGGCCGCGACCAGUGUUGAAAUGGAGAAAGGAGGCCUUGAUGGGAAUUGGGAGGGUGAAUGCUGUGUUACGUGCUACACACUCAUUAAUGGCAGUGUGAUCCGUGUGACCUGACAGGAGUACGAACUAUGAAUCAACAAGCCACUAUGGACCAGAUUGACGGCUGCUGGUGAGCGAGAGGAAUGGAGAGGAGGCAUUUUGGGAAAUUGGGAGGGUGAACAACACACCAUUCCCAAAGCUAAGUACUGCUGUCACGUGUCCUCCCUCUCCGGCCUCUAGGUCACCUGGCUGCUCAUUAAGGUCAACACCUGUCACCAUCGGUACGGGCAUUAGUGCAAUAUGACACUCGCCUGGACUCCAUCACAUCCUUGAUUACCUGCCCUAUAUAUGUCACUCCCCUUGGUUCCUUCCCCAGCCGUCAUUGUUUCUUUUUCAUGUCUGUGCGUUGUUUCUUGUUUUGGAUUAUGUUGCAUUUUUUCAUUAAAAAAAACACUCACUC
Molecule: long non-coding RNA, 918 nt
Organism: Oncorhynchus gorbuscha (pink salmon)
Lineage: Eukaryota; Metazoa; Chordata; Actinopteri; Salmoniformes; Salmonidae
Exons: 3
Source: RefSeq, a predicted model, not a curated record